UAUCAUUAACCCCCUCUAUAAGAACCUAACCUACAACAUUUGCCUGCAACUCACAAUUUUGUGAGCAAUAUUGGAUACAUAUAUUCAUUUAAGUAAGGACUACUUUGUUGUCCAAAAAUAUCAUUAUCCCAAUAGGUAGAAUUGAUAAAACUUUCUUACCUACUCCACCCAAGUGAGACACCUUUUCAAACCAAAACACCAACAGAAAAAGACCUACUGGGAUUUUACUAGUCAUGUGGCAUCCUAAAAGUGACAUUUUGCUAUCCGUUUGCCCUGGUCACCAUGAAUGUUCAAUAGUAAAUAUAUCCUUCAAGGAUAAAUUUUGCUUCAAAGUCCAGGAAAAAUCUAGAACAUGCUUCUGGUCAUAUGAGAACACAUGAUAAUAAUUCGCUGCCAAUAAUAUAAUUAUCUUUUAAGAUAGUUAUAAGCUACAAAAGCUCUAACAGGGUAGAAAAUGAAUGUUAACCUUCUGAGUGAUCCAUUAAGAUCACUUAUUAGCUGUUUGUCACUCCCACAUGGGAAGAAACCAAAUGUUCUUUCAAUUUCCAACUCAACCUACUUCUUAAGAGGUCCAAUUUAGUUUUCAUGGAUGUAGUGUUGUUGAUAGAAUUUCCUCCCUCUUCUCAAGUUGAUGCCAAGAUAAACUUCCAUUCCAAAUUACGAUAACUCCAAAUUGUUAACUGCAACUGCACUAUUUAGCCUUCAAAGAAACUGACUAGAAGGAGCUAGACCAAGCUGGUAAAAAGAAUAGCAAAACUUCUGGAAACCCUCAGUAAUUGGUCCAUAAAGAUUACAUCAUUAGAUACCCAAGGGUAAUGAAGCCAUUACCAAAUACAGAAGAGUGUUCUAACCAUCUAACUUUCCGAUAAAACAAAAGCAAUCUGAGACAGCCCUCCCCUUGAAGUAUUCCUGAAGUGCUCCUCCAACACAGGGUAGAAGACAGGUUUAUUCCUUGAAGUAAACUCCUAUUCUUCCUCCACUUCAGCCGCAGUCAAAGAAACAAGAGCUGGCAUGCAUUUAGUCUUAAAAAAUAAACAAAAACCAAGAACCUAAUUUUCCCAAAUUAACCUCCUAUAACAAGCCCAAUCGUUUACUUUCAAACAAAACAAAAUUUAGGAAAAUCACCACACACCCACCACUAAUAGCCUUCUAAAUUCGCAGACAAAACCAACCAGCCAAAACCACAGCUAUUCAGCAAAUUAAACAUCAAAGAAUCCCCCCCCCCCCCCCCAAAAAAAAAAAAGAGGGAACAAAAUAACCAUUGAAGCCAAGUCAAAAGAGAGUAAAACACAGGAGACUUACCCACACCGAUCACAGAGCUCCGCACGCUCUCCGCUGCGUAGUUGCCAGCCUUUCUUUGGCCGCUCCGAUUUGAACUCCGCACACUCCGAAUUGAAGCAUAUCUUUGACGACGAAGACGAAGACGACAUCGAGAUAAGAGUAAGAAACAAAAACCAAAAACCCAACGCCAAAGAUAACCCUCACAUAAACCCUAGAACCUCCUCUCACUAAGAAACAAGCUGCUAAGAGAAAAACUAGAAGGAAGACGUAGAAAGCUCGAAACCGUUGGUUAUUGCCUGAUCUACAAUCAGGAAGAGACUGAGGUUAGAGAGAGACCGGAGCAGUUUUUUGAAGUGAGAGAAAGUAGAAUGUGUUGUAUAUGUGUAACAUUAAUAUAUAUAUAUAUAUGCAUACCCAUACACG
This 1704-nucleotide long non-coding RNA is filed under the name Carica papaya (papaya). RNAcentral's name for it is "long non-coding RNA (CPAP_LNC000465)". Lineage: Eukaryota; Viridiplantae; Streptophyta; Magnoliopsida; Brassicales; Caricaceae. The record is from RNAcentral.